GUGCCAGCCGCCGCGGUAAUACGUAGGCAGCGAGCGUUGUUCGGAGUUACUGGGCGUAAAGAGUGCGUAGGCGGUGGCCCAAGUCUGGUGUGAAAUCUCCCGGCUUAACUGGGAGGGUGCGCCGGAAACUGGGUGACUUGAGUACCGGAGAGGCAAGCGGAAUUCCUGGUGUAGCGGUGAAAUGCGUAGAUAUCAGGAGGAACACCCGUGGUGUAGACGGCUUGCUGGACGGUCACUGACGCUGAGGCACGAAAGCGUGGGGAGCAAACAGGAUUAGAAACCCCCGUAGUCC
This 292-nucleotide ribosomal RNA is filed under the name uncultured bacterium. RNAcentral describes it as "partial 16S ribosomal RNA". It matches the Rfam family "Bacterial small subunit ribosomal RNA", at positions 505 to 796 of the family's 1533-position model. The record is from RNAcentral.